UCCAGGGUAGCCAAGUGGACAUGGCAUCAUGGCCAUCAUGACAUGGAAGGUUGUGGGUUCGAUUCCCGCCCCUGGAC
Molecule: non-coding RNA, 77 nt
Organism: Cordylochernes scorpioides
Lineage: Eukaryota; Metazoa; Arthropoda; Arachnida; Pseudoscorpiones; Chernetidae
Source: the annotation of a GenBank genome assembly